CGGGCGCCUCGAUGUCACCGACUUCGGUCGGGCGGCACGGGUCCCGUCCGUCGACGUCCGCGGACGGCGUGCACUUCUCCCUCAGUAAUACAUCGCGACCCGUUCGAUGUCGGUCUAAGCGCCGUUCGGGAGCCCCACGGCGACUCUCGGGUCACCGUGGGACCGCGACGUGCGCCGACCGGCCGUCGGACGGUAUCACUAAUCGAAUCGCGCACGCGUUUUUGCGCGUCCGGCCCGACGCAAGGCAACGUCGUAUCCUCCGACGUCCUGCCCGAGUGCGGACGUCGGUGCGGCGCGCCUGUCGUCGCUGCCGUGCAGUCUCGGACAUGUGCGCGUCUCGGUCUGCGAUGAUUCAGUUUCGGGCACUCGCAGGA
RNAcentral lists this ribosomal RNA (374 nucleotides) under Tethea oberthueri taiwana. RNAcentral's name for it is "eukaryotic LSU rRNA". Lineage: Eukaryota; Metazoa; Arthropoda; Insecta; Lepidoptera; Drepanidae. The record is from RNAcentral.